RNAcentral lists this transfer RNA (76 nucleotides) under Verrucomicrobiota bacterium. RNAcentral describes it as "Verrucomicrobia bacterium (mine drainage metagenome) tRNA-Arg". It matches the Rfam family "tRNA". Rfam says of the family: Transfer RNA (tRNA) molecules are approximately 80 nucleotides in length. The record is from RNAcentral. Lineage: Bacteria; Pseudomonadati; Verrucomicrobiota.
GCGCCCGUAGCUCAGUGGAUAGAGCACCGGUCUUCUAAACCGAUGGUCGUUGGUUCGAUUCCAACCGGGCGCGCCA